AGCAGCUCCUCUCUGAGGCUGCUGAAGGUGGACAGCAGCAGACGCAUGCUCCUAUCUGCAAUCAGACGAGUCUGGGACAAACAGAGACACAGGGAGACAUGAGUGGGCAGCAGGAUGUGACUUCUGAGAAGUUUGAACUGAGGAAACAUCUUGGAUUAGAGGUGAAACUAACACAGUCCAGUUUCUCCUGGUGUAUCUGCGUUGGAUAUGAUGACCUAGAUAACUGAGAAGUUCCACAGACACGUCGCUGUCCAUUAACUAAGUUCUUACACUGAUGGUACAUCUGGAAGACCAACUUCACUGUGUAAAAGAACUUACUGUGGUGCUGAACUACUUUACAAAACACUGUCUGAGACAGAGGGCUGAUGGAAUGACCAAAUGAUCACAGACUGGGCCACUGUGACUGUUGGACAUGGCAGCAAAAUAAUCAGCAUUCAAAUAAGUGAUUUACAUUGACAUUCCACAGAGGGGCGUGGCGGAGUCAGAUCUAGUGGGUGUGGAUCGGUCUGAUCUGUUGGGCCAAACAAACAUAAGGUGUCAGUGCCAGAUGUACUUGGUUUGACCGGAGCCACGGGUUGAAGACCAAGCCAAGCUGCAGACGGACGCUAAAUUCUACCAGCAGCACUGAGGUCAUACCGCCGUGUGGAAUGUGUGGGAGGAAAACGGCAGCAGCUUCAAGAUAAGAGGUUAGUGUUUUAUGAAUAACUGGUUUUUCUAUAC
Molecule: long non-coding RNA, 720 nt
Organism: Cynoglossus semilaevis (tongue sole)
Lineage: Eukaryota; Metazoa; Chordata; Actinopteri; Pleuronectiformes; Cynoglossidae
Exons: 5
Source: RefSeq, a predicted model, not a curated record